CGCGUAGGCGGGUCUUUAAGUGAGUGGUGAAAGCUCGGGGCUCAACCCCGAUAGUGCCGUUCAUACUGGGGACCUUGAGUGUGGGAGAGGCGAGUGGAAUUUCUGGUGUAGCGGUGAAAUGCGUAGAUAUCAGAAGGAACACCCAUGGCGAAGGCAGCUCGCUGGCCUACAACUGACGCUGAGGCGCGAAAGCGUGGGGAGCAAACAGGAUUAGAUACCCUGGUAGUCCACGCCCUAAACGAUGAAUGCUAGGUGUUAGUGGUAUCGACCCCACUAGUGCCGCAGCUAACGCAAUAAGCAUUCCGCCUGGGGAGUACGGCCGCAAGGUUGAA
Molecule: ribosomal RNA, 332 nt
Filed under: uncultured bacterium
Lineage: Bacteria
Description: bacterial SSU rRNA
Rfam family: Bacterial small subunit ribosomal RNA
Source: RNAcentral